AUAUCGGCUUUAUUUAAAGUCAUUUAAACAAUUAUUAAAAUGAUAU
Ricinus communis (castor bean) is the source of this 46-nucleotide non-coding RNA. Lineage: Eukaryota; Viridiplantae; Streptophyta; Magnoliopsida; Malpighiales; Euphorbiaceae. The record is from Rfam.